UUGAACGCUGGCGGCAUGCUUUACACAUGCAGGUCGCACGGCAGCGCGGGCUUCGGCCUGGCGGCGAGUGGCGAACGGGUGAGUAAUACAUCGGAACGUGCCCAGUAGUGGGGGAUAGCUCGGCGAAAGCCGGAUUAAUACCGCAUACGACCUGAGGGUGAAAGCGGGGGAUCUUCGGACCUCGCGCUAUUGGAGCGGCCGAUGGCAGAUUAGCUAGUUGGUGGGGUAAAGGCCUACCAAGGCGACGAUCUGUAGCUGGUCUGAGAGGACGACCAGCCACACUGGGACUGAGACACGGCCCAGACUCCUACGGGAGGCAGCAGUGGGGAAUUUUGGACAAUGGGCGAAAGCCUGAUCCAGCAAUGCCGCGUGUGUGAUGAAGGCCUUCGGGUUGUAAAGCACUUUUGGCGGGAACGAAAAGGACUGUGCCAAUACCACGGUUCGAUGACGGUACCCGCAGAAUAAGCACCGGCUAACUACGUG
This 483-nucleotide ribosomal RNA is filed under the name uncultured bacterium. Its description in RNAcentral is "partial 16S ribosomal RNA". It matches the Rfam family "Bacterial small subunit ribosomal RNA", at positions 29 to 507 of the family's 1533-position model. The record is from RNAcentral.